CAAAAAUUAGUUAAUUAUAUAAUACAGGGUUGUCAUUCCUGAGUAAUCUUUAGGGAUAUUUUUGU
Molecule: transfer RNA, 65 nt
Filed under: Neotrypaea japonica (Japanese ghost shrimp)
Lineage: Eukaryota; Metazoa; Arthropoda; Malacostraca; Decapoda; Callianassidae
Description: tRNA-Asp
Source: RNAcentral